This 424-nucleotide ribosomal RNA is filed under the name uncultured bacterium. Its description in RNAcentral is "bacterial SSU rRNA". It matches the Rfam family "Bacterial small subunit ribosomal RNA", at positions 355 to 796 of the family's 1533-position model. The record is from RNAcentral.
UGGGGAAUAUUGGACAAUGGGCGCAAGCCUGAUCCAGCAAUGCCGCGUGAGUGAGGAAGGCCUUAGGGUUGUAAAGCUCUUUCGCGCGCGACGAUGAUGACGGUAGCGCGAGAAGAAGCCCCGGCUAACUUCGUGCCAGCAGCCGCGGUAAUACGAAGGGGGCGAGCGUUGUUCGGAAUUACUGGGCGUAAAGGGCGCGCAGGCGGCUCUUCAAGUCAGGCGUGAAAGCCCCGGGCUCAACCUGGGAAUGGCGCUUGGGACUGGUGGGCUAGAGAUCGGGAGAGGAGCGUGGAAUUCCCAGUGUAGAGGUGAAAUUCGUAGAUAUUGGGAAGAACACCGGUGGCGAAGGCGGCGCUCUGGACCGAGACUGACGCUGAGGCGCGAAAGCGUGGGGAGCAAACAGGAUUAGAUACCCCCGUAGUCC